Molecule: ribosomal RNA, 253 nt
Filed under: uncultured bacterium
Lineage: Bacteria
Description: partial 16S ribosomal RNA
Rfam family: Bacterial small subunit ribosomal RNA
Source: RNAcentral
UACAGAGGUCUCAAGCGUUGUUCGGAUUCAUUGGGCGUAAAGGGUGCGUAGGCGGCUUUGUAAGUCAGUGGUGAAAUACGGUAGCUUAACUAUCGAGGUGCCAUUGAUACUGCAGAGCUUGAGUACAGAUGAGGUAGGCGGAAUUGACGGUGUAGCGGUGAAAUGCUUAGAUAUCGUCAAGAACACCUAUAGCGAAGGCAGCUUACUAGGCUGUAACUGACGCUGAGGCACGAAAGUGUGGGGAUCAAACAGG